Molecule: small nuclear RNA, 23 nt
Filed under: Arabidopsis thaliana (thale cress)
Lineage: Eukaryota; Viridiplantae; Streptophyta; Magnoliopsida; Brassicales; Brassicaceae
Description: snRNA_11820
Source: RNAcentral
UUUGUUUGCUUGUUUGUGAUAAA